RNAcentral lists this long non-coding RNA (400 nucleotides) under Helianthus annuus (common sunflower). RNAcentral describes it as "sRNA HanXRQr2_Chr13g0610791". Lineage: Eukaryota; Viridiplantae; Streptophyta; Magnoliopsida; Asterales; Asteraceae. The record is from RNAcentral.
UUUGAAGUCAAUUUUGUAUACAUAAACAUUACAAAUCUGUUUUACGAUGCAGCAAGUGGAUAUAAAAUAAAAUAUUGGUACACAGUCUGAUGAAUCAUUCAUUAGAUGCAGAACACAACUAAGAUGCAGCAACACUUUACCAGCAAAAUACAUCCGAUUCUUUUAUAAUAGAAGGUUGAAAUCACCACAUCUACCAUCAACAAUGCAUAAAUCACUAAUUGGUAUCCACAAAAAGAAAAAAAAGAGAACCCAAAUCGAAGGUUUUGCUCACUGUUGUGAGUGUUGAUAGGGUCUGCAGCACCAAAUGAGCGAUGAGAGACCUUCAUAUGUCGAUACGGGGGAUAUGGGAGAUUAGGGGCCAGUAUCUGCCUCUUUUACUGCAUCUUUCUCUCAGUUUUGG